Long non-coding RNA from Salvia splendens (bonfire salvia), 979 nucleotides. RefSeq lists it as uncharacterized. The record is from RefSeq and is a predicted model, not a curated record. The transcript has 3 exons. NCBI's taxonomy places the organism in Eukaryota, Viridiplantae, Streptophyta, Magnoliopsida, Lamiales, Lamiaceae.
UAAAUAAUACAAAAUCCAAUCUCGUGGAAAAUAAAUUGUGAAAUACAAAUGAUCGUGAAUCAGACUAAUUCAAUUAAAUAUUUUCCUUCUUGACUUUCACCAAGACUUUCCUUAGUUCAAAUUUUAAAUAAAUAUUCUACAGAGAUUUUCCUCUCCUAUGUGAUCUGCAAAUAAAAUUUCAAAGAAAUAAAAUUAGUCAAUCCUAAUUAAUUUUUGUGAAAUUAAUUAACCAUUAUCCACCUCUCUCCCACGUUAAAAAAAACCUGUAUCCCACUCUCGUGAAUCUCUUCCAAAUCGUGAAUCUCUUCCAAAUCUAAACCAUCAAUCAGCCGCCUCAUCUCUAUAAUACUCCUUUCGCAAAUCAAACUCAAUCAAAAAUUUUGAACAGAGGAGAGGCAGAAAGUUGGAUCGACUGCUCCCAAGCCACACACUCUUUUCAAUCCAUUGCUAGUCUCCAUUACUAAUCUGAUCAGAGGUAAUUUCAGAGAAAUCUAUCAUCCCCUUCCAAAAUAAAUUCUCUUUUGACACAUGAAACUCUUUCUGGCAGAAACCGAGAGAAGGGAGGAUAGAAGCCACAACCUCUUUUGUUUGCAGCUACUCGUCCCAAAUUGUUGAAGGUGAUUCCUUGCAAACAAGACGUGAUAUCAAGGGAAAUAAUAUAUUUGUGGAUUAAGCACUCGAGGUUGAGCGGCGACGAGAAUUUGGUGGUGUUGAGCAGUUAAAAUUGAAGUAUUAUUUGGUUAUCUUUGAUUAUGUGCAGGUUGAGCGGCGAGGAUAAUUUGGUGGUGUUGAGCAGUUAAAAUUGAAGUAUUAUUUGGUUAUCUUUGAACUACGAGUGUCGUUGUGUCUCCACACAUGACGUCACUCUUUCUCUUGAACGCUUCCGCUGAGACAUUAUUUUUUUAUUCAUCAUUUAUUUAGCUUUGAACCUAAUUAUUUGGAUAUUUGAAAACUUGAUAUCUUUUGGAUAAAUGUCAAA